RNAcentral lists this ribosomal RNA (500 nucleotides) under uncultured bacterium. RNAcentral describes it as "partial 16S ribosomal RNA". It matches the Rfam family "Bacterial small subunit ribosomal RNA", at positions 29 to 523 of the family's 1533-position model. The record is from RNAcentral.
AUUGAACGCUGGCGGCAUGCCUUACACAUGCAAGUCGAACGGCAGCGGGGACUUCGGUCCGCCGGCGAGUGGCGAACGGGUGAGUAAUAUAUCGGAACGUACCUUUCAGUGGGGGAUAACGUAGCGAAAGUUACGCUAAUACCGCAUAUUCUGUGAGCAGGAAAGCAGGGGAUCUUCGGACCUUGCGCUGAUUGAGCGGCCGAUAUCAGAUUAGCUGGGUGGUGGGGUAAAGGCUCACCAAGGCGGCGAUCUGUAGCGGGUCUGAGAGGAUGGACCGCCCCACUGGAAACGGGACACGGUCCAGACUCCUACGGGAAGGAGGAGUGGGGGAUUUUGGACCAUGGGGGGAACCCUGGUCCAGCCAUGCCGGGUGAGGGAAGAAGGCCUUCGGGUUGUAAAGCUCUUUCGGCCGGGAAAGAAUCGGACGGGUUAAUACCCCCGUUGGAUGACGGUACCGGAAUAAGAAGCACCGGCUAACUACGUGCCAGCCGCCGCCGUAA